Molecule: ribosomal RNA, 253 nt
Filed under: uncultured bacterium
Lineage: Bacteria
Description: partial 16S ribosomal RNA
Rfam family: Bacterial small subunit ribosomal RNA
Source: RNAcentral
UACGGAGGGUGCAAGCGUUAUCCGGAUUCACUGGGUUUAAAGGGUGCGUAGGUGGGCUAGUAAGUCCGUGGUGAAAUCUCCAAGCUUAACUUGGAAACUGCCGUGGAUACUAUUAGUCUUGAAUCUCGUGGAGGUAAGCGGAAUAUGUCAUGUAGCGGUGAAAUGCUUAGAUAUCGUCAAGAACACCUAUAGCGAAGGCAGCUUACUAGGCUGUAACUGGCGCUGAGGCACGAAAGUGUGGGGAUCAAACAGG